GAUGAACGCUGGCGGCGUGCCUAAUACAUGCAAGUCGAGCGAACAGACGAGGAGCUUGCUCCUCUGACGUUAGCGGCGGACGGGUGAGUAACACGUGGAUAACCUACCUAUAAGACUGGGAUAACUUCGGGAAACCGGAGCUAAUACCGGAUAAUAUAUUGAACCGCAUGGUUCAAUAGUGAAAGACGGUUUUGCUGUCACUUAUAGAUGGAUCCGCGCCGCGUUAGCUAGUUGGUAAGGUAACGGCUUACCAAGGCAACGAUGCGUAGCCGACCUGAGAGGGUGAUCGGCCACACUGGAACUGAGACACGGUCCAGACUCCUACGGGAGGCAGCAGUAGGGAAUCUUCCGCAAUGGGCGAAAGCCUGACGGAGCAACGCCGCGUGAGUGAUGAAGGUCUUCGGAUCGUAAAACUCUGUUAUUAGGGAAGAACAAAUGUGUAAGUAACUAUGCACGUCUUGACGGUACCUAAUCAGAAAGCCACGGCUAGCUACGUG
This 497-nucleotide ribosomal RNA is filed under the name uncultured bacterium. Its description in RNAcentral is "partial 16S ribosomal RNA". It matches the Rfam family "Bacterial small subunit ribosomal RNA", at positions 28 to 507 of the family's 1533-position model. The record is from RNAcentral.